CCUACGGGGGGCUGCAGUCGAGAAUCAUUCACAAUGGGGGAAACCCUGAUGGUGCGACGCCGCGUGGGGGAAUGAAGGUCUUCGGAUUGUAAACCCCUGUCAUGUGGGAGCAAAUUAAAAAGAUCGUACCCCAAGAGGAAGAGACGGCUAACUCUGUGCCAGCAGCCGCGGUAAUACAGAGGUCUCAAGCGUUGUUCGGAAUCACUGGGCGUAAAGCGUGCGUAGGCUGUUUCGUAAGUCGUGUGUGAAAGGCGCGGGCUCAACCCGCGGACGGCACAUGAUACUGCGAGACUAGAGUAAUGGAGGGGGAACCGGAAUUCUCGGUGUAGCAGUGAAAUGCGUAGAUAUCGGGAGGAACACUCGUGGCGAAGGCGGGUUCCUGGACAUUAACUGACGCUGAGGCACGAAGGCCAGGGGAGCGAAAGGGAUUAGAUACCCGUGUAGUC
This 446-nucleotide ribosomal RNA is filed under the name uncultured bacterium. RNAcentral's name for it is "partial 16S ribosomal RNA". It matches the Rfam family "Bacterial small subunit ribosomal RNA", at positions 338 to 795 of the family's 1533-position model. The record is from RNAcentral.